CAUUCUGUUUGUCCUUAGCCGUACACUGUAGCUAGCUAGGAAGUUUAUGUCAUGAUCAAAUACUACAUGAUAUGCACGUCAAACCAUGAAAAUAGUGUUAGAACGAUUUAAAAAGAAAUGGAUAGUAACACUAUAACUCCAUUAAAUAACGACAGUAGACGCUGUAUUUUCUUUAAUGCAGAUUCUGAUGACUAUCGAUGUGUGGUGAUUCUAAGAGUGAAGCGAGCCACAGGGACCUUCUCACUAAUAGGAUGCUUUUUUAUGCUGUUCAUAAUCUGGCUACUGCGUAGAUAUCACUCCUUGGCCCAGAAGAUGAUCUGCAGUCUGACAGUAGUGGCCUUCUUUGAUAGUGUUGCCUACGUCAUGGGUGAUCCCCAUCCAGACAGCAGUCUCUGUAACCUCCAGGCUUGGUGGCUUACUUUUUUUGACUGGAGUGCCUUGGCUUGGGUGUGCCUGAUCACAGUGAACCUCUACCUGAACCUGGUCAGAGAGACCAGUACCAGCCGUUAUGAAUUACUGUACCACCUGAUGGCCUGGGGGGUGCCCCUGGUCAUGGCCUCCCUGCCCUUGUUAAAUGGUUACUAUGGACCUGCUGGAGCCUGGUGCUGGAUCACAGACGACCACGUAUCCUGGAGGUUUGGGAUAUGGUACAUCCCGCUCUUCACCCUCAUCUUCCUCAUGACCUGCUGCUACGUCAGAAUCAUCUACGUGGCCAAUGAGAGAAUGCAGUCCUGGAUCGGAACGUUCCACCCUGAGAGAGAAAGGAGAAAGGUGUCCUUGGCUGAGGAGAUCAAACCGUUAAAGUGGUAUCCAUCCGUUUAUCUUCUGGUAUCUCUGUUCCCCCUAAUCAACAGGCUCCAUAAUGCAUUCUACCCCCAGGAUCCUCUCUUCUCCCUCACCCUGCUUCACGUCCUCUCCGCCCCUCUUCAUGGCCUGGCCAAUGCUUUCGUCUUCGGGCUGGACAGAGAAACGUGGAGCCAGCUGAGUCCUACUGGCAUACAGUUGGCGCUGCGGUCUCGGCUGUGUGACAGGACGCGUAUCGGGGAGUACCGUCCUGGGGCGGUGCGAUACACACAGGCUGACCUCAUCAGUGACGAUGACGACGAUGACACCAAUGUCCUCUUCUUCUCCCCGGACAUGACCCUGAAAGACAGGGGACCCUAAGAAAAAGACAGACAGAGGGAGAGAGAGGCACUGAGAGGGAUGGAAGGAGAGAGAGAGAGAGACGUAGAGACAAAAAUAAUAAAAAAUGAAUAGAUUUAUAUAGAUA
This is a long non-coding RNA of Esox lucius (northern pike), 1270 nucleotides long. RefSeq annotates it as cyclic AMP receptor-like protein A. The record is from RefSeq and is a predicted model, not a curated record. Lineage: Eukaryota; Metazoa; Chordata; Actinopteri; Esociformes; Esocidae. The transcript is spliced from 13 exons.